This 79-nucleotide transfer RNA is filed under the name Candidatus Heimdallarchaeota archaeon. Its description in RNAcentral is "tRNA-Pro". It matches the Rfam family "tRNA". Rfam says of the family: Transfer RNA (tRNA) molecules are approximately 80 nucleotides in length. Their secondary structure includes four short double-helical elements and three loops (D, anti-codon, and T loops). Further hydrogen bonds mediate the characteristic L-shaped molecular structure. tRNAs have two regions of fundamental functional importance: the anti-codon, which is responsible for specific mRNA codon recognition, and the 3' end, to which the tRNAs corresponding amino acid is attached (by aminoacyl-tRNA synthetases). tRNAs cope with the degeneracy of the genetic code in two manners: having more than one tRNA (with a specific anti-codon) for a particular amino acid; and 'wobble' base-pairing, i.e. permitting non-standard base-pairing at the 3rd anti-codon position. Lineage: Archaea; Promethearchaeati; Candidatus Heimdallarchaeota. The record is from RNAcentral.
AGGACUGUAGUCUAGCAUGGUUUUAUGAUUCCUGAUUUGGGACAUCAGGAGGUCGUGGGUUCAAAUCCCACCAGUCCUA